This 1938-nucleotide ribosomal RNA is filed under the name human gut metagenome. Its description in RNAcentral is "bacterial LSU rRNA". It matches the Rfam family "Bacterial large subunit ribosomal RNA", at positions 3 to 1973 of the family's 2925-position model. The record is from RNAcentral.
UCAAGCAAAAAAGAGCGCAGGGUGGAUGCCUUGGCACUAAGAGCCGAUGAAAGACGUGAUAAGCUGCGAAAAGCUGCGGGGAGGAGCAAAUAUCCACUGAUCCGCAGAUGUCUGAAUGGGGAAACCCGCAUGAGCAACCCUCAUGCAUCCAUACGCCAAUCCAUAACGUAUGGAGGGGAACCGCCUGAACUGAAACAUCUAAGUAGGGCGAGGAAGAGAAAGAAAAUUUAUCGAUUUCCAAAGUAGCGGCGAGCGAAAUGGAAAGAGGCCAAACCGGAGUGCGUGCACUCCGGGGUUCGGACCGCAUUUAAGAUUCAGUGAUUCUAGCAGAAAGGUUUGGGAAAGCCUGCCGGAGAGGGUGAAAGCCCCGUAAGCGAAAGGAGAACUGACUGAGCGGGAUCCAGAGUACAUCGAGACACGAGAAACCUUGAUGGAAUGAGCGGGGACCACCCCGUAAGCCUAAAUACUACUUAGUGACCGAUAGCGCAUAGUACUGUGAAGGAAAGGUGAAAAGGACCCCGGGAGGGGAGUGAAAGAGAACCUGAAACCCUGUGUUUACAAGCUGUGGAAGUUCUUUAAAUGAACAACCGCGUACUUUUUGUAGAACGGUCCGGCGAGUUGCGGAUACUGGCAAGGUUAAGCACUUAAGGUGCGGAGCCGAAGGGAUACCAAGUCUUAACAGGGCGUUAAGUCAGUAUACGCAGACCCGAAACCGGGUGAUCUAUCCAUGUCCAGGUUGAAGUUGUCGUAAAAGACAAUGGAGGACCGAAGCCACAUCCGUUGAAAAGGGUGGGCAUGAGGUGUGGAUAGGGGAGAAAUUCCAAUCGAACCCGGAGAUAGCUGGUUCUCCUCGAAAUAGCUUUAGGGCUAGCCUCGAUUUAGUCUUAUGGAGGUAGAGCACUGAAUUUCCGCGGGGGCGUCAAAGCUUACCAAAGAAUAUCAAACUCCGAAUGCCAUGUAGAUGAUGAUCGGGAGUCAGACUGCACGAGAUAAGUUGGGCAGUCAAAAGGGAAAGAGCCCAGACCACCGGCUAAGGUCCCAAAGUGCGUGUUAAGUGGAAAAGGAUGUGGGAAUUCGAAGACAACUAGGAUGUUGGCUCAGAAGCAGCCAUACAUUCAAAGAGUGCGUAACAGCUCACUAGUCGAGAGUUCCUGCGCCGAAAAUGUCCGGGGCUGAAACACGACACCGAAGCCGUGGACUCGCAAUGCGAGUGGUAGAGGAGCAUUCUUAAAACCGACGAAGCUGUACCGAAAGGAGCAGUGGAGGGAUAAGAAGAGAGAAUGCCGGAAUGAGUAGCGAGAGAAAGGUGGGAAUCCUUUCGGCCGAAUAUCUAAGGUUUCCAGAGUAAAGCUGAUCUGCUCUGGGUAAGUCGGGGCCUAAGCACAGGUCGCAAGACGUAAGCGAUGGAUAACAGGUUUAGAUUCCUGUACCACGCAUUAUCAGAACUGUAGGGACGCAUGUGGAAAGCACGAGCCGGGAAUGGAAAAACCGGUACAAGCGGGGUAGGUGUACAAUAGGCAAAUCCGUUGUAUAAUCCGAAGACGUGAUGUGGAGCGAAAUAAAGUAGCGAAGCGUGUGAGCCAUGUGCCGAGAAAAGCUGCUAUUGUGUAAUGCGUGCCCGUACCGUAAACCGACACAGGUGGAUGAGGAGAGAAUCCUAAGGCCGACGGAAGAAGCAUUGUUAAGGAAUUCGGCAAAAUGACCCCGUAACUUCGGGAGAAGGGGUGCCUGCGAGAGCAGGCCGCAGAGAAUAGGCUCAAGCAACUGUUUAGCAAAAACACAGGUCUAUGCGAAACCGAAAGGUGAAGUAUAUGGGCUGACGCCUGCCCGGUGCUGGAAGGUUAAGAGGAGAGGUUAGCGUAAGCGAAGCUUUGAAUUUAAGCCCCAGUAAACGGCGGCCGUAACUAUAACGGUCCUAAGGUAGCGAAAUUCCUUGUC